GACGAACCGUGCGAACGUUAUUCGGAAUCACUGGGCUUAAAGCGCGUGUAGGCGGGUCGGAACGUCGGUCGCUGAAAUCCCCCGGCUUAACCGGGGAACGGGCGCCGAAACGGCCGGCCUGGAGGGACGUAGGGGGAACUGGAACUUCCGGUGGAGCGGUGAAAUGCGUUGAGAUCGGAAGGAACGCCCGUGGCGAAAGCGGGUUCCUGGACGUCUGCUGACGCUGAGACGCGAAAGCCAGGGGAGCGAACGGG
RNAcentral lists this ribosomal RNA (254 nucleotides) under uncultured bacterium. RNAcentral describes it as "partial 16S ribosomal RNA". It matches the Rfam family "Bacterial small subunit ribosomal RNA", at positions 524 to 776 of the family's 1533-position model. RNAcentral also lists the same sequence under 1 other name. The record is from RNAcentral.